UACGUAGGGUGCGAGCGUUAAUCGGAAUUACUGGGCGUAAAGCGUGCGUAGGCGGUUCGUUAAGUCAGGCGUGAAAUCCCCGGGCUUAACCUGGGAAUUGCGCUUGAAACUAGCGGGCUUGAGUGUGGCAGAGGGGGGUGGAAUUCCACGUGUAGCAGUGAAAUGCGUAGAGAUGUGGAGGAACACCGAUGGCGAAGGCAGCCCCCUGGGUCAACACUGACACUCAUGCACGAAAGCGUGGGGAGCAAACAGG
This 253-nucleotide ribosomal RNA is filed under the name uncultured bacterium. Its description in RNAcentral is "partial 16S ribosomal RNA". It matches the Rfam family "Bacterial small subunit ribosomal RNA", at positions 524 to 776 of the family's 1533-position model. The record is from RNAcentral.